RNAcentral lists this ribosomal RNA (958 nucleotides) under Dehalococcoidia bacterium. RNAcentral describes it as "partial 23S ribosomal RNA". It matches the Rfam family "Bacterial large subunit ribosomal RNA", at positions 1954 to 2925 of the family's 2925-position model. Lineage: Bacteria; Bacillati; Chloroflexota; Dehalococcoidia. The record is from RNAcentral.
AGGUAGCGAAGUCCCUUGUCGGGUAAGUUCCGACCCGCACGAAUGGCGUAACGACUUGAACACUGUCUCAACGAUGGACUCGGUGAAAUUGCAGGACCCGUAAAGAUGCGGGUUACGCGCAGCAGGACAAAAAGACCCCGUGGAGCUUUACUGCAGCUUGACAUUGGUUCGAGCUUUAACCUGUGUAGGAUAGGCGGGAGACUAUGAAUUAGAUGCGCCAGCAUUUAAGGAGUCGCCCUUGAAAUACCGCCCUGAUUACAGUUUGAAUCUAACUUUUACUAGAACAGUGUCUGGUGGGCAGUUUGACUGGGGCGGUCGCCUCCCAAAGAGUAACGGAGGCGCACAAAGGUCACCUCAGGCUGGAUGGAAAUCAGCCUUAGAGCGUAUUGGUAUAAGGUGGCUUGACUGCGAGACAUACAAGUCGAGCAGGGACGAAAGUCGGUCAAAGUGAUCCCACGGUACCGUGUGGAAGGGCCGUGGCUUAACGGAUAAAAGCUACCCCGGGGAUAACAGGCUUAUCUCGCCCAAGAGUCCGUAUCGACGGCGAGGUUUGGCACCUCGAUGUCGGCUCGUCGCAUCCUGGGGCUGAAGAAGGUCCCAAGGGUCGGGCUGUCCGCCCGUUAAAGCGGCACGCGAGCUGGGUUCAGAGCGUCGUGAGACAGCUCGGUCUCUAUCCGCUGUGCGCGAAAGAUAUUUGAGGGGAUCUGUUUCUAGUACGAGAGGACCGAAAUGGACGAAUCUCUGGUGUGCCGGUUGUGACGCCAGUCGCAUUGCCGGGUAGCUACAUUCGGAAGGGAUAAACGCUGAAAGCAUCUAAGUGUGAAGCCCCCCCCAAGAUUAGAUAUCUCAUCUGUAAAAAGAGUAAGACCUCCGGUAGACUACCGGUUAGAUAGGCCACGUGUGUAAGCGCAGUAAUGUGUUCAGCUAAGUGGUACUAAUUGGUCGAGGGCUUGCCUCA